CCUACGGGGGGCUGCAGUGGGGAAUAUUGGACAAUGGGGGCAACCCUGAUCCAGCCAUGCCGCGUGUGUGAAGAAGGCCCUCGGGUUGUAAAGCACUUUCAGUGAGGAAGAACGCCUGGUGGUUAAUACCCAUCAGGAAAGACAUCACACACAGAAGAAGCACCGGCUAACUCCGUGCCAGCAGCCGCGGUAAUACGGAGGGUGCGAGCGUUAAUCGGAAUUACUGGGCGUAAAGCGCGCGUAGGUGGCUUGAUAAGCCGGUUGUGAAAGCCCCGGGCUCAACCUGGGAACGGCAUCCGGAACUGUCAAGCUAGAGUGCAGGAGAGGAAGGUAGAAUUCCCGGUGUAGCGGUGAAAUGCGUAGAGAUCGGGAGGAAUACCAGUGGCGAAGGCGGCCUUCUGGACUGACACUGACACUGAGGUGCGAAAGCGUGGGUAGCAAACAGGAUUAGAUACCCGGGUAGUC
RNAcentral lists this ribosomal RNA (465 nucleotides) under Vreelandella stevensii. RNAcentral's name for it is "partial 16S ribosomal RNA". It matches the Rfam family "Bacterial small subunit ribosomal RNA", at positions 338 to 795 of the family's 1533-position model. Lineage: Bacteria; Pseudomonadati; Pseudomonadota; Gammaproteobacteria; Oceanospirillales; Halomonadaceae. The record is from RNAcentral.